GAUGCUCGAAGUGAAAUUAGGUCGGUUUUUACUAAUUUUAUAACCGACCAAAUAAAUACCCUAACCAUCGUUGAGAAAUUAUAACCAUUUGAAAUCGACGGUACAGUUUUUACCGGUUUUUUUAUUUUUGACAAUUUUUGUGGGUUUUAUGGUUUAACCAAUUUUUUUUUAAAAAAAAUCAAAACCGACCGUUAUGUCAAACAAACUAUAGCCGAAAUCGACCGUCAAAUUCGGUGAUGAUGUAGAAUCAAAAAUUUAAUUACAGUGUGAAGACUGAGUCAAUUCAAAAAAAAAAAUGAAAUAUAACAAAUGGAUAGUAGAACCCACUCCAUAUAUAAACUAUUUUAACUCUCUCUCCCCUCGACAAAUCACUCUUAGCCACUCCUUCUCUUUCUUUCUCCCCCUCUUUCUCUCUUCAAAACACCAAAAGAAAAAUCCACUAACACCACUGCCAGCGUAGAUCGAACGAGCACUUUCAGCCACCGUCUGACCUCACGCAUAUCAGGCCAUUUGAAUCCCCAGGCACCGACGACCUCAACGCCCAAGCGGCACCGUCGUUAGCUCAGGAUUGCAAGUUAAAGUUUUGAGGUUCAACGCAUUUUUCAAUCACCUCUGGUGUCCAUUUGACGAGUCGUCUUCACCACUAGACUCAGCUCAUUGGCUCGUUGAGGGAACAAUCUACACUAAGUUAAUUUGUCCAGCUCGCUACUUUUUCAGGUGACGUUUUUGUAACUCUACCCCUUUCUGAUGACUUUUCAGCGAUAUUGUGUACCGUUUUGACAAAUAAUUAGUAUGAGUGUGAUCUACUAGUCGAAGUGCUUAUUUUGAUAUAUACUACUCCUAUUUUCAACGACGUUUCCGGUACACAAUUUCUACUGCCACUAAUUAUUGUUGUGCACCGCUUAGGUGAAAGUGGUACCUAAAAUUGGAUUAAACAAUUGGAGCUCGGGACUUGAGAGCUUAGGAUCAUCUUUUUGGACAAAGUUUAACGGCUUGGGAGAGUGAACUGGAUCAAUACUUAUAUUGUGGAGUAUAUGGAUGCCCAGUCCAAGAGGGUGGACUGUAAUUAAACGAACAACUCCCACAGCUUGGAGCAAGACAAUCAAGUAAAUGAGGUGUUUUAUCAAUUGUUUACUGAUGCAGCUAUCAAUUCUAAGAGUGGUAAAAUUGGGCUUGGGGUGAUAAUUAAGGAUUGGAAGGAGAACAUGGUCGCUGGUCUUUCGGUACCUAUGGCAGCAAGGGCAACUUCUACAAUGGCAGAGGCUCUGGCAAUGAAAUCAGCAUUGCUUUGGUGCUGCAAUGUUCGAAUGCCUCUUGCUAAGGUCGUCACUGACUCGAAGCAGCUGAUAGACAGAGUGAAGAGCAAAAAGAAAGAUUUUUCAGUUUUUUCAAACAUAGUUAAUGACAUUAAUGACUCUUUGUCUCGCUUCCCUAAUAUUUUUUUAAGUUUUCAGCCAAGAUCUUGUAAUGUCCAUACUCAUCAUAUGGCUAAGAAACUUUUAGGGCUAGAUAGGGAGUUAAUCUGGAGAGGUUUUUUUUUCCAAAUUUGGAAUAUGUAAUGAUCUUAUCAUGUGGUUACUUUCAUCAAAAAAAAAGAAAAAAAAAAAGAAAAGAAAAGAAAAUCAGCUGUGACAAAACAUAUUAUUUAUUUGGCUCUAUUCCCAUGCAUGCAAAGAUCAAAUUAACUAUUUC
Cannabis sativa is the source of this 1692-nucleotide long non-coding RNA. RefSeq lists it as uncharacterized. The record is from RefSeq and is a predicted model, not a curated record. The transcript has 3 exons. Lineage: Eukaryota; Viridiplantae; Streptophyta; Magnoliopsida; Rosales; Cannabaceae.